This 497-nucleotide ribosomal RNA is filed under the name uncultured bacterium. RNAcentral describes it as "partial 16S ribosomal RNA". It matches the Rfam family "Bacterial small subunit ribosomal RNA", at positions 28 to 507 of the family's 1533-position model. The record is from RNAcentral.
GAUGAACGCUGGCGGCGUGCCUAAUACAUGCAAGUCGAGCGAACGGACGAGAAGCUUGCUUUUCUGAUGUUAGCGGCGGACGGGUGAGUAACACGUGGAUAACCUACCUAUAAGACUGGGAUAACUUCGGGAAACCGGAGCUAAUACCGGAUAAUAUUUUGAACCGCAUGGUUCAAAAGUGAAAGACGGUCUUGCUGUCACUUAUAGAUGGAUCCGCGCUGCAUUAGCUAGUUGGUAAGGUAACGGCUUACCAAGGCAACGAUGCAUAGCCGACCUGAGAGGGUGAUCGGCCACACUGGAACGGAGACAGGGUCCAGACUACUACGGGAGGCAGCAGUAGGGAAUCUUCCGCAAUGGGCGAAAGCCUGACGGAGCAACGCCGCGUGAGUGAUGAAGGUCUUCGGAUCGUAAAACUCUGUUAUUAGGGAAGAACAUAUGUGUAAGGAACUGUGCACAUCUUGACGGUACCUAAUCAGAAAGCCACGGCUAACUACGUG